CCGCCGCCACCCACCGACUGGCGACAGAGAGCACCACUUCUCUCUCCCCAAUCAGUGUGAUUGGGGGACACCUGUUGGAUGGAGCAGGAGCCAUCUUAAAAGGGCCACGAGGACAGACAGAGGAGACCGGGAACCAUGGAGAGCUAGGAAGCCCAUGAGACGACAACGCAUUAGAGGCUCACGGAGACCCUAACAGGUUAUUGCCCUCAGGAAGGAGAUACGAGGUACCAAUUUUCAAGAAGGUUAGACGAAAGUCUUUUGUCCAUCAAUCGACUUUGAUGCUAAACCGGAGAUAGGCGAAGUGGUGGACAAUGUGCUCUCGACUAUCUGUACCCAUGUAUGUACAUUUGUUGUGUUUCAAUGUGUCAUGUCAAUGUGUGCAAUUCAUGUUUUCUGUUUUUACAUGCAACGGCUGCUGGGUCGCAAGACAAAUUUCAGCACUGCUGACGAAUAAAGU
Molecule: long non-coding RNA, 457 nt
Organism: Gadus macrocephalus (Pacific cod)
Lineage: Eukaryota; Metazoa; Chordata; Actinopteri; Gadiformes; Gadidae
Exons: 2
Source: RefSeq, a predicted model, not a curated record